GCCUAACGGCUGAACUGGGCACUUGGAGAAGUGGCAAGUUUUAUAAUUAAUAGUAAUUAAUAUUUCUAUUUUUAUAAAAUUCUAUUAGAAUUGAAUGAAGCUUUGUUUAUAUAUUGAUAAUGACAGUAUAUAUAUCGUGUCUUGACUAAUUGCGUGCCAGCAGUCGCGGUAAUACGUAAGAGACUAGUGUUAUUCAUCUUAAUUAGGUUUAAAGGGUACCCAGACGGUCAAUAUAUCUUCUAUAAUGUUAGUACUUGACUAGAGUUUUAUGUAAGAGGGCAGUACUUGAGGAGGAGAGAUGAAAUUUCGUGAUACCAAAGGGACUCUGUAAAGGCGAAGGCAGCCCUCUAUGUAGAAACUGACGUUGAAGGACGAAGGCACAGAGAACAAACAGGAUUAGAUACCCAAGUAGUCUUUGCAGUAAAUGAUGAAUGCCAUAGGUCAGAUCUAAAUUUAAUGUUUAUAGAUUAUAAAAGCGCCUUAAUUGGCAACUUUGCAAAAAAUUAUAAAUAUUAAAAAUUAUUUGGUCUAUAAAUGAAAGUGUAAGCAUUUCACCUCAAGAGUAAUGUGGCAACGCAGGAACUGAAAUCACUAGACCGUUUCUGACACCAGUAGUGAAGU
RNAcentral lists this ribosomal RNA (621 nucleotides) under Ilyonectria destructans. RNAcentral's name for it is "SSU rRNA". It matches the Rfam family "Bacterial small subunit ribosomal RNA", at positions 374 to 938 of the family's 1533-position model. The record is from RNAcentral. Lineage: Eukaryota; Fungi; Ascomycota; Sordariomycetes; Hypocreales; Nectriaceae.